UACGGGGGGAGCAAGCGUUGUUCGGAUUUACUGGGCGUAAAGGGCGCGUAGGCGGCCAGCACAAGUCAGUUGUGAAAUCUCCGAGCUUAACCCGGAGCGGCCAAGUGAUACUGUCGUGCUAGAGUGCGGAAGGGGCUACUGGAAUUCUCGGUGUAGCGGUGAAAUGCGUAGAUAUCGAGAGGAACACCUGCGGCGAAGGCGGGUAGCUGGGCCGACAUUGACGCUGAGGAGCGAAAGCCAGGGGAGCAAACGGG
Molecule: ribosomal RNA, 254 nt
Filed under: uncultured bacterium
Lineage: Bacteria
Description: partial 16S ribosomal RNA
Rfam family: Bacterial small subunit ribosomal RNA
Source: RNAcentral